AGAGUUUGAUCAUGGCUCAGGACGAACGCUGGCGGCGUGCCUAAUACAUGCAAGUCGAACGGUCUUUUCUAUGGAAGCUUGCUUCCACUGAGAAGAUAGUGGCGAACGGGUGAGUAACACGUGGGUAACCUGCCCAUAAGAGGGGGAUAACAUCCGGAAACGGGUGCUAAUACCGCAUAGUUUUCUUGAUCGCAUGAUUGAGAAAGGAAAGACGGCCUUUGUGCUGUCGCUUAUGGAUGGACCCGCGGCGUAUUAGUUAGUUGGUGAGGUAAUGGCUCACCAAGACGAUGAUACGUAGCCGACCUGAGAGGGUGAUCGGCCACAUUGGGACUGAGACACGGCCCAAACUCCUACGGGAGGCAGCAGUAGGGAAUCUUCCGCAAUGGACGAAAGUCUGACGGAGCAACGCCGCGUGAGUGAAGAAGGUUUUCGGAUCGUAAAACUCUGUUGUCAGAGAAGAACAAGUUGGAGAGUAACUGCUCCAGCCUUGACGGUAUCUGACCAGAAAGCCACGGCUAACUACGUGCCAGCAGCCGCGGUAAUACGUAGGUGGCAAGCGUUGUCCGGAUUUAUUGGGCGUAAAGCGAGCGCAGGCGGUUCCUUAAGUCUGAUGUGAAAGCCCACGGCUCAACCGUGGAAGGUCAUUGGAAACUGGGGAACUUGAGUGCAGAAGAGGAGAGUGGAAUUCCAUGUGUAGCGGUGAAAUGCGUAGAUAUAUGGAGGAACACCAGUGGCGAAGGCGACUCUCUGGUCUGUAACUGACGCUGAGGCUCGAAAGCGUGGGGAGCAAACAGGAUUAGAUACCCUGGUAGUCCACGCCGUAAACGAUGAGUGCUAAGUGUUGGAGGGUUUCCACCCUUCAGUGCUGCAGCUAACGCAUUAAGCACUCCGCCUGGGGAGUACGGCCGCAAGGCUGAAACUCAAAUGAAUUGACGG
RNAcentral lists this ribosomal RNA (936 nucleotides) under uncultured bacterium. RNAcentral describes it as "bacterial SSU rRNA". It matches the Rfam family "Bacterial small subunit ribosomal RNA", at positions 8 to 916 of the family's 1533-position model. The record is from RNAcentral.